Molecule: ribosomal RNA, 1111 nt
Filed under: Brachoria sp. 283
Lineage: Eukaryota; Metazoa; Arthropoda; Diplopoda; Polydesmida; Xystodesmidae
Description: partial large subunit ribosomal RNA
Source: RNAcentral
GUAUAUUUUGGGUUUUUGUUGUGUUUAUUAGAAAAUUUGUUUUUAGUAGUUUGAGCGAAGUUUGGUGGUUUCCUAGAGAGGAUUUAGUACUGAGAAGGAAAGUUAUAUUAUUUAUUUUGAAUAUUAGGCUUGUUAGUACCUUUUGUAUUAGGGUUGAUUUAUGUGGUUUUGCUUUUGUUAUUUCUCGAUGAGUAUCGGGCUAUUUUUCCUUGGUUUAUUCUCGUUGUAUAGAGUUGUAUAGGGGGUUAUAGGUAUGAAAUAUUAUUCAAGUUGCUUUUUAUCUAGUUCUUUAAGAAAUUUAAUAGUUGGUAGUGUUAUUAUGACGAUAAGCAGGGAUUAGCUUGUUUAUUUUUUAUAUUGGGUUGUGGUUGAAGUUUGUUUGUUAAGUUGAUAGUGCUUGUUUUAAUGGAGUUAUUAUUGAGCAGGUUAUCUUUAUUAUUUUUUGGUUUUGUUUUUGUAUUGGGGUUGGUUUGUUAAUUUUUAGUGGUCUGUAAUAAUGAUUGUAUUAGUAAUAAUUUUUAUUAGUUUACUUUUAUUUUGUUCUGAUUGAUAUUUUAGGUAGGUGUAAUUUUAAAUUAGAAUUAAUGAAUUAGGCAAUACGAACUUCUGACUGUUUAGCAAAGACAUUGUUUUUUGUUGUGGUAAAAAAUAAGUUCUGUCCACUGCUAUUAGGUGAAGGGCUGCAGUAUUUUGACUGUAUGAAGGUAGCAUAAUCAUUAGCUUCUUAAUUAGAAGCUGGUAUGAAGGUGAAACAGGGGUUUGCUGUAUUUUUUCUAUUUGUUGAAUUUUAUUUUCAUGUGAAAAAUCAUGAUUGGGUUAAUGGGACAAGAAGACCCUAAUAAGUUUUAUUCUUUUUCUUAAUGCGUGUAUAGUUUUUGAUUUAUGUAAUUUAUUUGGGGGAGUUUGGCUGGGGCGGCAGUUUAUUUAACAUAGAUUAAUUUUUAACUUUGUAUGGCGGUAUGUUGGACCUAGUUUGUUUAUAUCAGUGUAAAAUUACUGUAGGGAUAACAGCGUGAUUUUUUUUGAGAGUUCUAAUUGACAAUAAAGUUUGCGACCUCGAUGUUGGAUUAAGAAGAGCGUUGGCGAAGUAGUUGAUGUUUUGGUCUGUUCG